CAACAAACUCUAAGGCCAGUGCAGUGGCACAUGCCUGUAAUCCCAACUAUUUGGGAUGCUGAGGCAGGAGGAUCGCUUGAGCCCAGGAGUUCAAGAGUAAUUUUAUGCUGAUUGAAGAAAAGAAGUAAACAGAGUUCCAGAAAGCAACUGCAAAUACUCAUUUUGAAAAAGAAAACAAAACAAAAACAAGGGAGACAUUUUAAAAGGUAU
RNAcentral lists this long non-coding RNA (210 nucleotides) under Gorilla gorilla gorilla (western lowland gorilla). RNAcentral's name for it is "lncRNA (ENSGGOG00000044393.1)". Lineage: Eukaryota; Metazoa; Chordata; Mammalia; Primates; Hominidae. The record is from RNAcentral.